ACGAACGCUGGCGGCGUGCCUAAUACCUGCAAGUUGCGCGAUGAAGAUUGGUGCUUGCACCAAUUUGAAGAGCAGCGAACGGGUGAGUAACGCGUGGGGAAUCUGCCUUUGAGCGGGGGACAACAUUUGGAAACGAAUGCUAAUACCGCAUAACAACUUUAAACAUAAGUUUUAAGUUUGAAAGAUGCAAUUGCAUCACUCAAAGAUGAUCCCGCGUUGUAUUAGCUAGUUGGUGAGGUAAAGGCUCACCAAGGCGAUGAUACAUAGCCGACCUGAGAGGGUGAUCGGCCACAUUGGGACUGAGACACGGCCCAAACUCCUACGGGAGGCAGCAGUAGGGAAUCUUCGGCAAUGGACGAAAGUCUGACCGAGCAACGCCGCGUGAGUGAAGAAGGUUUUCGGAUCGUAAAACUCUGUUGGUAGAGAAGAACGUUGGUGAGAGUGGAAAGCUCAUCAAGUGACGGUAACUACCCAGAAAGGGACGGCUAACUACGUG
RNAcentral lists this ribosomal RNA (496 nucleotides) under uncultured bacterium. Its description in RNAcentral is "partial 16S ribosomal RNA". It matches the Rfam family "Bacterial small subunit ribosomal RNA", at positions 29 to 507 of the family's 1533-position model. The record is from RNAcentral.